Molecule: small nucleolar RNA, 184 nt
Organism: Abrus precatorius (Indian licorice)
Lineage: Eukaryota; Viridiplantae; Streptophyta; Magnoliopsida; Fabales; Fabaceae
Product: small nucleolar RNA Z112
Exons: 1
Source: RefSeq, a predicted model, not a curated record
UCCCCAAUGAGGAAGAAAACCCAAUUGAUAGGAAGUGCCGUAUGACACUCUUAACAGCAGCGUAAGUGCGUAACUCAAACUAUCCCGACUCGUGCAUUGCGGCGUCGUUUUGGCGAUGCGCUACCAGUCGGGAUUAGUUUGUGGCACCGCUGUGUGUGUGAUUUGAAAAGGGACUCUGAGGGUU